UCGCCUACGGGAGGCAGCAGUGAGGAAUAUUGGUCAAUGGCCGGAAGGCUGAACCAGCCAAGUCGCGUGAGGGAAUAAGGCCCUAUGGGUCGUAAACCUCUUUUGUCAGGGAGCAAAGGCGUCCACGUGUGGACGAGAGGAGAGUACCUGAAGAAAAAGCAUCGGCUAACUCCGUGCCAGCAGCCGCGGUAAUACGGAGGAUGCGAGCGUUAUCCGGAUUUAUUGGGUUUAAAGGGUGCGCAGGCGGAAGAUCAAGUCAGCGGUAAAAUUGAGAGGCUCAACCUCUUCGAGCCGUUGAAACUGGU
RNAcentral lists this ribosomal RNA (305 nucleotides) under uncultured bacterium. RNAcentral's name for it is "bacterial SSU rRNA". It matches the Rfam family "Bacterial small subunit ribosomal RNA", at positions 335 to 637 of the family's 1533-position model. The record is from RNAcentral.